GACGAACGCUGGCGGCGUGCUUAACACAUGCAAGUCGAACGGAAAGGCCUGCUUUCCCUUGUGGAUUGCGGGUACUCGAGUGGCGAACGGGUGAGUAACACGUGAGUGAUCUGCCCCCAACUUGGGUAUAAGCCUGGGAAACUGGGUCUAAUUCCCGAUAGGACUGCAGGGUGGUGCCUGUGGUGGAAAACGAUUUUCUAGUGGUUGGGGAUGAGCUCGCGGCCUAUCAGCUUGUUGGUGGGGUAAUGGCCUACCAAGGCGGCGACGGGUAGCCGGCCUGAGAGGGUGGACGGCAACAUUGGGACUGAGAUACGGCCCAGACUCCUACGGGAGGCAGCAGUGGGGAAUAGUGCACAAUGGGCGGAAGCCUGAUGCAGCGACGCCGCGUGGGGGAUGACGGCCUUCGGGUUGUAAACUCCUUUCGACCGCGAGGAAGCCACCUGGUUGGAAGGGUGGUGACGGUAGUGGUAGAAGAAGCACCGGCUAACUACGUG
RNAcentral lists this ribosomal RNA (494 nucleotides) under uncultured bacterium. RNAcentral describes it as "partial 16S ribosomal RNA". It matches the Rfam family "Bacterial small subunit ribosomal RNA", at positions 28 to 507 of the family's 1533-position model. The record is from RNAcentral.